This 494-nucleotide ribosomal RNA is filed under the name Mesembrinella bicolor. RNAcentral describes it as "eukaryotic LSU rRNA". It matches the Rfam family "Eukaryotic large subunit ribosomal RNA", at positions 429 to 837 of the family's 3401-position model. The record is from RNAcentral. Lineage: Eukaryota; Metazoa; Arthropoda; Insecta; Diptera; Calliphoridae.
UUUAUCAUAAGAUCAUUAUGCGUAAGUUUAUUCAAAUUAUUUUGCUUGCAAUUUAACAUUGGAUAAAUGCUUUUGAUUUGAUAAAAUGUUGAUAGAUGUAUUAUAUAUGGUGCUUAAAUAUAUAUUUAUAUAUAUAUUUUAUAAUUGCAUAUUAAUCAUUAUUGAUUUUUGUGUUUAUUAUAAUGCACUUGUAUGGUCAACAAUGCGAAAGAUUCAGGAUACCUUCGGGACCCGUCUUGAAACACGGACCAAGGAGUCUAACAUAUUUGCAAGUUAUUGGGAAUAAAAACCUAAUAGCGAAAUUAACAUAACUUUACAAAAGUAAUGAUGGGAUUAGUUUUUAGCCACUAUAUUUUAUAUAUAGUAGUCUAUUAAUUCAAUCCCGGGGCGUUCUAUUUGUUAUGUAUAAUAAUAUAUUUAUAUAUUAUUUAUACCUCUAACUAGAGCGUACCUUGAGCAUAUAUGCUGUGACCCGAAAGAUGGUGAACUAUACU